This 498-nucleotide ribosomal RNA is filed under the name uncultured Glomeromycotina. Its description in RNAcentral is "partial small subunit ribosomal RNA". It matches the Rfam family "Eukaryotic small subunit ribosomal RNA", at positions 591 to 1092 of the family's 1831-position model. Lineage: Eukaryota; Fungi; Glomeromycota. The record is from RNAcentral.
CCAAUAGCGUAUAUUAAAGUUGCUGCAGUUAAAAAGCUCGUAGUUGAAUUUCGGGAUCAAUAUGUUGGUCGUGCCUCGGUACGUACUAGCUUAUUGGUUUCUCCCUUCUGACGAACCAUGAUGUCAUUUAUUUGGUGUUAUGGGGAAUCAGGACUGUUACUUUGAAAAAAUUAGAGUGUUUAAAGCAGGCUCACGCUUGAAUACAUUAGCAUGGAAUAAUGAAAUAGGACGUUUGAUUCUAUUUUGUUGGUUUCUAGGAUCGACGUAAUGAUUAAUAGGGAUAGUUGGGGGCAUUAGUAUUCAAUUGUCAGAGGUGAAAUUCUUGGAUUUAUUGAAGACUAACUACUGCGAAAGCAUUUGCCAAGGAUGUUUUCAUUAAUCAAGAACGAAAGUUAGGGGAUCGAAGACGAUCAGAUACCGUCGUAGUCUUAACCAUAAACUAUGCCGACUAGGGAUCGGAUGAUGUUAAUUUCUUAAUGACUCAUUCGGCGCCUUACG